CUUCUGGUGAUGAGACCUUUGUCCAGUUCCGCUACUGAAUUUGAGCGAUGACAGUUUGGAGAUCUGAAGAGG
This 72-nucleotide small nucleolar RNA is filed under the name Anser cygnoides (Swan goose). The record is from RNAcentral. Lineage: Eukaryota; Metazoa; Chordata; Aves; Anseriformes; Anatidae.